AUUGAACGCUGGCGGCGUGCUUAACACAUGCAAGUCGAACGGUAACAGGCCCUUCGGGGUGCUGACGAGUGGCGGACGGGUGAGUAAUGCUUAGGAAUCUGCCUAGUAGUGGGGGAUAACCCGGGGAAACUCGGGCUAAUACCGCAUACGCCCUACAGGGGAAAGCGGGGGACUUUCGGGCCUCGCGCUAUUAGAUGAGCCUAAGUCCGAUUAGCUAGUUGGUAGGGUAAUGGCCUACCAAGGCGACGACGGUAGCUGGUCUGAGAGGACGACCAGCCACACUGGGACUGAGACACGGCCCAGACUCCUACGGGAGGCAGCAGUGGGGAAUAUUGGACAAUGGGCGCAAGCCUGAUCCAGCGAUGCCGCGUGUGUGAAGAAGGCCUGCGGGUUGUAAAGCACUUUC
This 406-nucleotide ribosomal RNA is filed under the name uncultured bacterium. RNAcentral describes it as "bacterial SSU rRNA". It matches the Rfam family "Bacterial small subunit ribosomal RNA", at positions 30 to 437 of the family's 1533-position model. The record is from RNAcentral.